GGGGUGAUAGUGGCUCAGGAGGUAGAGCAGUCGACUGGGGAUUGGAAGGUCCCUGGUUUGAAUCUGGCUCCUCCUG
This 76-nucleotide transfer RNA is filed under the name Megalops atlanticus (tarpon). RNAcentral describes it as "tRNA-OTHER". Lineage: Eukaryota; Metazoa; Chordata; Actinopteri; Elopiformes; Megalopidae. The record is from RNAcentral.